UCUUAAUGGGCGCAGCCUGAUGCAGCCAUGCCGCGUGUAUGAAGAAGGCCUUCGGGUUGUAAAGUACUUUCAGCGGGGAGGAAGGGAGUAAAGUUAAUACCUUUGCUCAUUGACGUUACCCGCAGAAGAAGCACCGGCUAACUCCGUG
Molecule: ribosomal RNA, 148 nt
Filed under: uncultured bacterium
Lineage: Bacteria
Description: partial 16S ribosomal RNA
Rfam family: Bacterial small subunit ribosomal RNA
Source: RNAcentral